AGCUUUGCACAGUGGCAGUAUUGUAGCUGAUGAGGUUUAUCCAAGGCAUGAUUAUUGCUAAUUGAAAAAUUGAGGAAUAGUU
Molecule: small nuclear RNA, 82 nt
Filed under: Colobus angolensis palliatus
Lineage: Eukaryota; Metazoa; Chordata; Mammalia; Primates; Cercopithecidae
Description: U4 spliceosomal RNA (ENSCANG00000012067.1)
Rfam family: U4 spliceosomal RNA (bases 1-73)
About the family: U4 small nuclear RNA (U4 snRNA) is a component of the major U2-dependent spliceosome. The structure of U4 snRNA from yeast and human has been reported.
Source: RNAcentral